UUCCGGUUGAUCCUGCCGGACCUGACUGCUAUCGGAUUGGUACUAAGCCAUGCGAGUCGUUGUAGCAAUACAAGGCGGACGGCUCAGUAACACGUAGUCAACCUAACCUAUGGGCGUGGAUAACCUCGGGAAACUGAGAAUAAACCGCGAUAGAUCAUUAUGCCUGGAAUGGCUUAUGGUUCAAACAAUUUAUUGCCGUAGGAUGGGACUGCGGCCUAUCAGCUUGUUGGUGAGGUAAUGGCCCACCAAGGCUAUAACAGGUACGGGCUCUGAGAGGAGAAGCCCGGAGAUGGGUACUGAGACACGGACCCAGGCCCUAUGGGGCGCAGCAGGCGAGAAACCUUAGCAAUGUGCGAAAGCACGACUAGGUUAAUCCGAGUGAUUUCUGUUGAAGAAAUCUUUUGUCAGUCGUAAAACCACAGACGAAUAAGGGGUGGGCAAGUCUGGUGUCAGCCGCCGCGGUAAUACCAGCACCUCGAGUGGUCAGGAGGUUUAUUGGGCCUAAAGCAUCCGUAGCCGGCUUUGCAAGUCUCCGGUUAAAUCCAGCUGCUCAACAGAUGGGCUGCCGGAGAUACUACAAAGCUAGGGAGCGGGAGAGGUAGACGGUAUUCGGUGGGUAGGGGUAAAAUCCACUGAUCCAUCGAGGACCACCAGUGGCGAAGGCGGUCUACCAGAACGCGUUCGACGGUGAGGGAUGAAAGCUGGGGGAGCAAACCGGAUUAGAUACCCGGGUAGUCCCAGCUGUAAACGAUGCAAACUCGGUGAUGCAUUGGCUUAUGGCCAAUGCAGUGCCGCAGGGAAGCCGUUAAGUUUGCCGCCUGGGAAGUACGGACGCAAGUCUGAAACUUAAAGGAAUUGGCGGGGGAGCACCACAAGGGGUGAAGCCUGCGGUUCAAUUGGAUUCAACGCCGGG
RNAcentral lists this ribosomal RNA (913 nucleotides) under uncultured crenarchaeote. RNAcentral's name for it is "bacterial SSU rRNA". It matches the Rfam family "Archaeal small subunit ribosomal RNA", at positions 1 to 922 of the family's 1478-position model. Lineage: Archaea; Thermoproteati; Thermoproteota. The record is from RNAcentral.